RNAcentral lists this ribosomal RNA (2926 nucleotides) under Drosophila melanogaster (fruit fly). RNAcentral's name for it is "eukaryotic LSU rRNA". The stretch from base 573 to 2926 matches the Rfam family "Eukaryotic large subunit ribosomal RNA", at positions 1 to 2058 of the family's 3401-position model. Lineage: Eukaryota; Metazoa; Arthropoda; Insecta; Diptera; Drosophilidae. The record is from RNAcentral.
ACUCUAAGCGGUGGAUCACUCGGCUCAUGGGUCGAUGAAGAACGCAGCAAACUGUGCGUCAUCGUGUGAACUGCAGGACACAUGAACAUCGACAUUUUGAACGCAUAUCGCAGUCCAUGCUGUUAUGUACUUUAAUUAAUUUUAUAGUGCUGCUUGGACUACAUAUGGUUGAGGGUUGUAAGACUAUGCUAAUUAAGUUGCUUAUAAAUUUUUAUAAGCAUAUGGUAUAUUAUUGGAUAAAUAUAAUAAUUUUUAUUCAUAAUAUUAAAAAAUAAAUGAAAAACAUUAUCUCACAUUUGAAUGUGAAAAACGAAGAGAAAUAUUUUCUUUUUCAAUCAAAUAAUACUGAGAAAUGUCUAGCAUAAAAAAUUGAAAUAUUUUUCAUCUAGAAUUGUCUCUUAUUAAUGAUUCGGAAAUAGAAAAAUCUUGGUUAUGUUAUUAUUCUUCGUUGGUUCGUUAAAAAUGGAUAAAUAAAAACUUUGCAUACAAGAAUUAAUAAAAAUGUUAUAACGAAUUUAAUUAAAUGUUUUAUCAUUAUAUAUAAAGAAUUUAUGGCAAGAUAAAGUUAUAUACAACCUCAACUCAUAUGGGACUACCCCCUGAAUUUAAGCAUAUUAAUUAGGGGAGGAAAAGAAACUAACAAGGAUUUUCUUAGUAGCGGCGAGCGAAAAGAAAACAGUUCAGCACUAAGUCACUUUGUCUAUAUGGCAAAUGUGAGAUGCAGUGUAUGGAGCGUCAAUAUUCUAGUAUGAGAAAUUAACGAUUUAAGUCCUUCUUAAAUGAGGCCAUUUACCCAUAGAGGGUGCCAGGCCCGUAUAACGUUAAUGAUUACUAGAUGAUGUUUCCAAAGAGUCGUGUUGCUUGAUAGUGCAGCACUAAGUGGGUGGUAAACUCCAUCUAAAACUAAAUAUAACCAUGAGACCGAUAGUAAACAAGUACCGUGAGGGAAAGUUGAAAAGAACUCUGAAUAGAGAGUUAAACAGUACGUGAAACUGCUUAGAGGUUAAGCCCGAUGAACCUGAAUAUCCGUUAUGGAAAAUUCAUCAUUAAAAUUGUAAUAUUUAAAUAAUAUUAUGAGAAUAGUGUGCAUUUUUUCCAUAUAAGGACAUUGUAAUCUAUUAGCAUAUACCAAAUUUAUCAUAAAAUAUAACUUAUAGUUUAUUCCAAUUAAAUUGCUUGCAUUUUAACACAGAAUAAAUGUUAUUAAUUUGAUAAAGUGCUGAUAGAUUUAUAUGAUUACAGUGCGUUAAUUUUUCGGAAUUAUAUAAUGGCAUAAUUAUCAUUGAUUUUUGUGUUUAUUAUAUGCACUUGUAUGAUUAACAAUGCGAAAGAUUCAGGAUACCUUCGGGACCCGUCUUGAAACACGGACCAAGGAGUCUAACAUAUGUGCAAGUUAUUGGGAUAUAAACCUAAUAGCGUAAUUAACUUGACUAAUAAUGGGAUUAGUUUUUUAGCUAUUUAUAGCUAAUUAACACAAUCCCGGGGCGUUCUAUAUAGUUAUGUAUAAUGUAUAUUUAUAUUAUUUAUGCCUCUAACUGGAACGUACCUUGAGCAUAUAUGCUGUGACCCGAAAGAUGGUGAACUAUACUUGAUCAGGUUGAAGUCAGGGGAAACCCUGAUGGAAGACCGAAACAGUUCUGACGUGCAAAUCGAUUGUCAGAAUUGAGUAUAGGGGCGAAAGACCAAUCGAACCAUCUAGUAGCUGGUUCCUUCCGAAGUUUCCCUCAGGAUAGCUGGUGCAUUUUAAUAUUAUAUAAAAUAAUCUUAUCUGGUAAAGCGAAUGAUUAGAGGCCUUAGGGUCGAAACGAUCUUAACCUAUUCUCAAACUUUAAAUGGGUAAGAACCUUAACUUUCUUGAUAUGAAGUUCAAGGUUAUGAUAUAAUGUGCCCAGUGGGCCACUUUUGGUAAGCAGAACUGGCGCUGUGGGAUGAACCAAACGUAAUGUUACGGUGCCCAAAUUAACAACUCAUGCAGAUACCAUGAAAGGCGUUGGUUGCUUAAAACAGCAGGACGGUGAUCAUGGAAGUCGAAAUCCGCUAAGGAGUGUGUAACAACUCACCUGCCGAAGCAACUAGCCCUUAAAAUGGAUGGCGCUUAAGUUGUAUACCUAUACAUUACCGCUAAAGUAGAUGAUUUAUAUUACUUGUGAUAUAAAUUUUGAAACUUUAGUGAGUAGGAAGGUACAAUGGUAUGCGUAGAAGUGUUUGGCGUAAGCCUGCAUGGAGCUGCCAUUGGUACAGAUCUUGGUGGUAGUAGCAAAUAAUCGAAUGAGACCUUGGAGGACUGAAGUGGAGAAGGGUUUCGUGUGAACAGUGGUUGAUCACGAGUUAGUCGGUCCUAAGUUCAAGGCGAAAGCCGAAAAUUUUCAAGUAAAACAAAAAUGCCUAACUAUAUAAACAAAGCGAAUUAUAAUACACUUGAAUAAUUUUGAACGAAAGGGAAUACGGUUCCAAUUCCGUAACCUGUUGAGUAUCCGUUUGUUAUUAAAUAUGGGCCUCGUGCUCAUCCUGGCAACAGGAACGACCAUAAAGAAGCCGUCGAGAGAUAUCGGAAGAGUUUUCUUUUCUGUUUUAUAGCCGUACUACCAUGGAAGUCUUUCGCAGAGAGAUAUGGUAGAUGGGCUAGAAGAGCAUGACAUAUACUGUUGUGUCGAUAUUUUCUCCUCGGACCUUGAAAAUUUAUGGUGGGGACACGCAAACUUCUCAACAGGCCGUACCAAUAUCCGCAGCUGGUCUCCAAGGUGAAGAGUCUCUAGUCGAUAGAAUAAUGUAGGUAAGGGAAGUCGGCAAAUUAGAUCCGUAACUUCGGGAUAAGGAUUGGCUCUGAAGAUUGAGAUAGUCGGGCUUGAUUGGGAAACAAUAACAUGGUUUAUGUGCUCGUUCUGGGUAAAUAGAGUUUCUAGCAUUUAUGUUAGUUACUUGUUCC